Molecule: long non-coding RNA, 465 nt
Filed under: Equus asinus (donkey)
Lineage: Eukaryota; Metazoa; Chordata; Mammalia; Perissodactyla; Equidae
Description: lncRNA (ENSEASG00005037805.1)
Source: RNAcentral
GCCUGUUCGUUUGGUUUGGUGAUAGUCCCAAAGAGAUGGAAUGUGAGAGGCCACGUCAUCAUAACAAGAAGUAGAAUCUUGAAGAGAUUAUCUGGAUGAUUCUGGGAGACCUCCUACUUAUCAUCUCGGGCAUUUAUUCCAAAUGAUUGAUUUAUUAAUAUACUAUAACCAUUUCCUAGUUCUUUUCAAUUCUUAUAGCUGUAGUCUUAUCUUAAAUAAAGGAUGAGGAUCUCUUCAUCUUUUUAGAUAACCACGAGUCACAUCCUGACAAAGAAAUAGAGAAGAGUUUCCCCUUCAGCCUGAGUAAUAAGAUGAUGGAGAUUUUUAUGUGGGGGAAAAAUAGCUACUCGAGAACAGCACCUAUGAUGGAACUGAUGCCAGGAUGUAGGUGCCAGAGCAGCAGGACACAACAGAAUCACCAAAAGCAGUGCUGACAAGGGAGGAAAAAGCUAUGUGACAUCUCGG